AAAAAAAAUUAUUUUUUCUUUUUUUUCUUUUUUCUUCAUUCUCUAUCUCUUUCCCAGAUUUGUCGCUCUCUUCUCUAUCUUCAUCUCCUUAUCUCUUCCUCCUUAAUAACUGUGAUUUUUUUUCUAUUCUCCUUUGCUUAAUAAUUAUUUGUUUUCUAAUAUCUUCUUCUUCGUCUCUUUAUCUCUUCACUUUUCUCAAGAAACCCGAUGAAGAAAACGACUUGAGAAGGUUCCGGUUUGAAGGGAGGAGGAGAGGGAGGUCCGGUGUGUUAGAAUGAAGAAGAAAGAAGCAUGGAUGAGUGUGAUCUAUUGCCUGAGAAAUAAAGAAGAUAAAGAGAAGAAGAGAUACUUGAAAUGAGUCUGGUCCAUACAAACUUGCUACACAAGGCAGUCCGUACAGUCUUGGCUUCCAAUUAACUUAGAAUGAUUUUGAAGGCAAGAGAAGAUGGGAACUCGUUCAGUUUGAUCUUCUGAAGUAUAUUUGAAGUUUAAAUAGAGCAUCUGGCCGUUGGAAAAGAUUGUGUUAAUAUAUAGAAAAUUUGAAGUUAAAAGAAUUCCUUUUUCUCAAUUUUUCUAUAUUCCAAUGUAAAUACCUCCUAAAAACUUGCUCAAAUCCCAAUAUUUUUUAAAAAUCCUUAGGAUUUAGUAUAUAUUAAAAUUCUCUCAAAUGCUCAGUUCGAUAAGCCCCUCUUAGGCGACAAGUACUCUCAGGAGAAGAGAAUCAAAAUCUAUUAUUAUCAUUGUUUCUGAAAAAUCGAUAUAUCAUAAAAAAACCGAG
RNAcentral lists this long non-coding RNA (778 nucleotides) under Brassica napus (rape). RNAcentral's name for it is "long non-coding RNA (BNAP_LNC017451)". Lineage: Eukaryota; Viridiplantae; Streptophyta; Magnoliopsida; Brassicales; Brassicaceae. The record is from RNAcentral.